Molecule: non-coding RNA, 981 nt
Organism: Dermatophagoides farinae (American house dust mite)
Lineage: Eukaryota; Metazoa; Arthropoda; Arachnida; Sarcoptiformes; Pyroglyphidae
Source: RefSeq, a predicted model, not a curated record
UUGUGGUUAAAAAUUAUUGAUUUGUACUCAUGAAAAAAAAACUGGUGAAUGAAUCAAAAGAAAAAUAAAUAUUUCACAAUCAAAUAUGACAUGGAUUUCAUUUCCGUUUUUUUCCUCUUCAUUUGUUAUUAUUCGUUUCUGGAUCAGGAAUUUUCACCGGAAAUGACGAUUAAAUGUUCAAUAUGAAUGAAUGAAUGAAUGAAGCAAAUGAUGUGAAAAAUGAACUAAAAUUGUGGCUGAGAAAAAAAAAUUGUGAAUGAACAAAAUGACUUUUUAGGAAAUUUUUUUUUUUUUUGCUGACAGCAUCAAUAUUGAUGAUGAUGAUGAUGAUAUGGCGAUUGACAGUCAUUCAAAAAUUUGGGUGGUUUCUUAUUGCAUCAUUUAUUGAUGCGGAUGAUGGAGAGAGAGAGAAAAAAACAUAAGAUUUGUUCUAAUCAUCAUCAUCAUCAAUAUUAUAUUUGAUGAGUUGUAAAUGAUUGAUUGAUAAAAAAAGAAUCAAUUCGAUUUCAUUUAAAUGUCAAAUGUUGUUUGAGUUGUCACCGUGUGUGUGUGUGAUAUUUCAAUAAUUUAUUCAUCAUUGAUUUGAUAAUGAUUUAUUUUGUAAUGAAUGUCGGUGAUUUAUUACUACAAAUCAUCGUUAAACAUUUUGUGAUGAUGAUAUGAGGUUGACAGUUUAUUUUUUUCGUGGAUUUUGAUUUUGAACAAAAAAAUUGUUUAAAUAAAUAUCACAUUUAAUUUGAUUUGAUGAUAAACAAAUUCGGAUUCUAGAGAAUUUUUUUUUGUUCGUGAAAAUUUCACAAAUUUAAAUUGCUCACAGUUAUGGAGGAAUGAUGAAAUGAUGAUAAACAAAAAUCAUUUCAAAUACACAAGAAUGACGCAUUGGACAAUCGAAAAUUGAACAAACAUGGUCUGUUGGUCGAUUUGAUGGGUCGUUCAGCUAUUUUUCUUCUUUCUUCUACCACACACACACACACACACACA